This is a non-coding RNA of Chlorocebus sabaeus (green monkey), 3334 nucleotides long. The record is from RefSeq and is a predicted model, not a curated record. NCBI's taxonomy places the organism in Eukaryota, Metazoa, Chordata, Mammalia, Primates, Cercopithecidae.
CGUUCGUCCCCUAAGGUGCUGGGAUGACAGGCAUGAGCCACCGUGCCCAGCUCAGUAUUUAUCUUUCUGUGACUGUCUUAUUUCAUGUGGCAUAGUGUCCUCAAUGUUCAUCUAUGUUGUUUAAUGGUAUAGAAUUUCCUUAUUUUUUAAGGCUGAAUAGCGUUUCAUUACAUGUUUGUGUUUACUACAUCUUCUUUAUGCGUUUAUCUGUCAGUGGACAUUUAGAUUGUUUUCACAUCUUGGCUAUUGUGUAUAGUGCUGCAAUAAACAUAAGAGUGCAGGUAUCUUGUUGAGAGCCUCAAAUUGAAUUGAUUUCAAUUAUUUUGGACAAUAUCUAGAAGUGGGAUUUUUUGACCAGAUAGUGGUUCUUUAUUUAAGUUUUAGGGGAACCUCCAUUCCAUUUUCCAUCAGCUGCCCCAUUUUGCAUUCCUACCAACAGUGUGCAGGUUCCAAUUCUUCCACAUCCUCGCCAACACUUAUUAUCAUUUAUCUUUUAAUAAUAUGCAUCCUAGUAGAUGUGAAAUUAUGUUUCAUUAUGGUUUUUAUUUGCAUUUUCUGAAGUGACAUCUUUUUAUAUACUUAUUGACCAUUUGCAUAUCUUCUUUGGAGAAAUGUCUAUUCAAGCGCUUAGCCCAUUUUCCCUGUCUAAUUUUUGAUAUUGAGUGAAAGGCCAAAGUGCCUUUGACUUUGAAAAAAUUUUAGUAUCUGGGAGCUCAAAGCGAGUGUAAUUCUGAAAUUACCUCACUUUGCUUCAGACAAUCCAAGGGCAUAAAAAACUGUCAGCAUUUAAAAAGAAGAAAUCCUGACAUAAUCAUCAGAUUUUAGAGAAAAUAAAACCUUAGAGAAUGUCUGAUUCUUUUACAGAUGACAAAAUGGAAAUUUGGAGAAAUUAAGUGACUAGUUGAGGUUACCCAACUACUUAUGGGCAAACGCAAUUCUAGAAGCAGUGUCCUGGAGCAUAUUGAGUCACUUGGGGAGAUAGUAUUAACACUUUAAAUACCAGGUUGUAUUUAGGGGUCAACAUUUUCUUUCCCAUUCUUCUUACAAAGUUUCCACAGAGGAUCUCCUUGAUCAAUGGAGAAGACAAAACAAAGAGACAAUUUGUCAAACGAGGUACUGUUCUUUCCUUCAAGUGACAAAUCUUUGGUGAUAUGUUUGAGCUAACAAGAUUUUGAAUUUUCACUUUUCUGCUUGUUUACAGGUAUCGCUUUACAAAAAAGCACCAUUUGCAAAAUAAACUCAUCUGAAGGCUUCCACAGGGAAUUUCCCCCAAUAAAAGGAGAUAUUAAUUAUUUAAAAUUAGAUCAGUGGAGAGGAUUCUGGGAAUUCAAUGGAGUAGUAAGCACCAGGACUCCAUCGCCCCACCUAGACAAUAAUUGCACUGGUAGAAUGUGUUUGAUGUAAUAAUUUUGAAACUCUGGAGUCUAUUGCAUGCUUCAGACUUCUAAGGGAAAGCUUGGAUAGUAAAUUCUGGUUAAUUUUAGUUAAUUUCAGCUCUUAGCACAGUAGUAGCUAUUCAUCUCCCACUCCCAGCUCUGUGGCAGGCAGCUGUGCAGGUGUUACUGGAGCAGCUUGCACACAGCCUGAUAGAGCCGAAGUGGGGAAAAAAUAUUCUAUCCUCCAAAUGUAGAUCAGUGCUAUGAUUGCUGAUUCCUGCUUCUGACCACGGAGGAAUAGGCAGCAAUAUUUGCUACACAUCGCGCUAUUGUUGACAGCCCUUCCUCCUCCAUCUGAGGUGACCUCUAAGGGAUUUAAAGGGCUAGAGCACCCUUUCUUUUCUCCCCUCUUCUUGUCUUUUCCCAGUUGGGAGGCAGAUAUCAAACACAGGACAGUCACAAACAACUUUAUAUACAGGGAAAGUUAGAAAGUAACUGCUCUUGGCGCAGAGGGAGGCACGGCUCAGAAAAGUUUUAAAAAGACCUUAGGUUUCCAUUUUUAGGUAUAGAGACUGUCUACAGUAUUAAAAAUAAAACCCCCAAACAAUAAUUUUACAAAGUAGAGCCUGGUUUAUAGAAUUAGAGUUAUCAGUUUAUUAGAUUCAAAUGUCCACUUUUCAAAAAAAAAAAAAAAUGACACACACGGAGACACAUUCUAAUCAGACUUUCAGGCUGAAGACAAAGACAGAAUUUUGAAAGCAAGACAGAAGCAACUCAUUGCAUACAAGGGAUCCUCCAUAUGAUUAUCAGCAGAUUUUUAAAAUCAGAAACUUUGGAGGCUAGAAAAUAAUGGGGUGAUAUAUUCAAAGCACUAAAAGAAAAAAAAUCAACAAAUAAUCCUAUGUCUGACAAAACUGUCCUUCAAAAGUGAGGGGAAAACCAUUAAUAACAAAUUUCCAGUUAAACAAAAGGUGAGGAAAUUUUUACUACUAGACCUGCCCUGCAAGAAGUGUAUAAGGGAGCCCUGCAAAGUGAAGUUAAAGGACAGCAGACAGUAACUCAAAGCUAUAUGAAGAAACAAAUGCCUCAAUAAAGGUGAAUACACGGGCCAUUAUGAAAGCAAGUAUUAUCAUAAAAAUGGAUUGUGAUUCUAGUUUUCAUUUUCUAUAUAACUUAAGAGCCUAUUACAUUUGGAAGAAUUAUUAGUUUAUGUUUUUGAGCAGAGAAUGUAUAAGGAUGAAAUUUUGUGACCUCAGCAAUUCAAAGACAUGGAAAUAGAGUUGUAAAAAGCAUAGUUUGUGUAUGAUAUUGUAUUAAACUGGUGUAAAUUCAACAUAAAGUGUUAUAACUUUAGGAUGUUACAUGUAAUUCCUGUGGUAGCUACAAAGAAAAUAGGUAUAGAAUAUACACAAAAAGAAAUGAGAAAGAUACUUAAACAUUACAGUAUUAAGGAUCAACUAAUUAUUAAAAAAACAGUAAUGCAGAAAAUGAGGGUAAAAAAGCCAUAAAGUAUAUAGAAAAUAAAUAACAAAAUGACAGAAGGAAAUCUGUCCUUAUCAGUACCUUAAAUGUAAGUGAAUUAAACUUUAUAUUCAAAAAGCAGGUUAGCAGAAUGAAUGAAGACACAUGAUCCAAGUUCAACAGCAUAUGCAUUCUUCUCAAGAUUGGGACGUGGGACAUUUUUCCAUGAUUCACCGUAUGUUAGGAUUCAGACUCAGUUUCAAUAGAUAUUAAAAAAUAGACAUUAUACAAAGUAUAUUCUCUGACAACAAUGAGAUUAAAUUAAAAAUCAAUGACAGAAGUAAAACUGGAAAACUCAAAAAUUUGUGGAAACAUACAAGCAAUGGAUCAAAGAGGAAAUUACAAAGAAAAUUAGAAAAUACUUAGAGACAAAUGAGAACAAAACUACAACAUGUGAAAACUUAUGAGAUACAAUUAAAGCAGUGUAAGAAGAAAUU